RNAcentral lists this long non-coding RNA (369 nucleotides) under Mytilus galloprovincialis (Mediterranean mussel). Lineage: Eukaryota; Metazoa; Mollusca; Bivalvia; Mytilida; Mytilidae. The record is from RNAcentral.
UGGGGGGGGGGGGCUAGGAUGAAAAAUUUUGUCCUGCAUUUUUUUUUAGCUGUAAUCUCUGUCCUGCCUUUUUAUUUUUCACUCUGUUCGGUCCUGCUUUUUUUUUUAGUUUAUCCUGACUUUUUUUUUACCUAAAUUGUCGUCCUGACUUUUUUUUUUUUGCAAAUGUCUCAUCCUGCUUUUUUUUUACUCAAAACUCCUGUCCUGCCUAUUUUUUUCAAAUUUCAUCCUAGCCCCCCCCCCCAUAAAAAUCAAAUGGUAGCUCCCUUACUGUCUAGUAAAUAAGGAACUUGGCACAAAGUAAAUAGUCUACAUCAGAGUCCUGAAAACCAAAAUACAAUAAUAAGAACGGACUCUUCGUAAUUAUAU